AUUGAACGCUAGCGGGAUGCUUUACACAUGCAAGUCGAACGAGUGGCGGACGGGUGAGUAAUAUAUCGGAACGUGCCCAAUAGAGGGGGAUACCUACUCGAAAGAGUGGCUACUACAGCAUACUAUUGGAGCGGCCGUUAUCGGAUUAGCUCGUUGGUGGGGUAAAGGCUCACCAAGGCAACGAUCCGUAGCUGGUUUGAGAGGACGCCCAGCCACACUGGGACUGAGACACGGCCCAGACUCCUACGGUAGGAAGCAGUGGGGAAUGUUGGACAAUGGGUGAAACCCUGAUCCAGCCAUCCCGCGUGUAUGAGAAGGCCUUCGGGUUGUAAAGUACUUUUGUCAGAGAAGCGGUAUCUGCAGAAUAAGCACCGGCGAACUACGUGCCAGCAGCCGCGGUAAUUC
This 405-nucleotide ribosomal RNA is filed under the name uncultured bacterium. Its description in RNAcentral is "partial 16S ribosomal RNA". It matches the Rfam family "Bacterial small subunit ribosomal RNA", at positions 30 to 526 of the family's 1533-position model. The record is from RNAcentral.